UACGGAGGGUGCAAGCGUUAUCCGGAAUCACUGGGUUUAAAGGGUACGUAGGCGGCCUGUUAAGUCGGAAGUGAAACGCCGCAGCUCAACUGCGGAACUGCUUUCGAUACUGGCGGGCUUGGAUAUGGUGGAGGCAGGCGGAAUGCGUCAUGUAGCGGUGAAAUGCAUAGAUAUGACGUAGAACACCGAUAGCGAAGGCAGCUUGCCAUACCAUUAUCGACGCUGAGGUACGAAAGCGUGGGUAGCAAACAGG
RNAcentral lists this ribosomal RNA (253 nucleotides) under uncultured bacterium. Its description in RNAcentral is "partial 16S ribosomal RNA". It matches the Rfam family "Bacterial small subunit ribosomal RNA", at positions 524 to 776 of the family's 1533-position model. The record is from RNAcentral.